RNAcentral lists this ribosomal RNA (253 nucleotides) under uncultured bacterium. RNAcentral's name for it is "partial 16S ribosomal RNA". It matches the Rfam family "Bacterial small subunit ribosomal RNA", at positions 524 to 776 of the family's 1533-position model. The record is from RNAcentral.
UACGGAGGGUGCGAGCGUUGUUCGGAAUCACUGGGCGUAAAGCGCGUGUAGGCGGCCUCUUAAGUCCGAUGUGAAAGCCCGGGGCUCACCCCCGGAAGUGCAUCGAAUACUGGGAGACUCGAGUACCGGAGAGGAAGGUGGAAUUCCUGGUGUAGCGGUGAAAUGCGUAGAUAUCAGGAGGAACACCGGUGGCGAAGGCGGCCUUCUGGACGGAUACUGACGCUGAGACGCGAAAGCGUGGGGAGCAAACAGG